This is a long non-coding RNA of Panthera leo (lion), 1949 nucleotides long. The record is from Ensembl. Lineage: Eukaryota; Metazoa; Chordata; Mammalia; Carnivora; Felidae.
AGAACAUGCAUGAGUGGAGUCGAGGCAGAGAGAAUCCCAAGCAGGCUCCGCCCUGUGGGUACCAAGCUGGAUGCAGAGCUUGAUCUCAUGACCUUGAGAUCAUGACCUGAGCCGAAAUCAAGUGUCGGACAUUUGACCGACCGAGCUGCCCAGGUGCCCCCGCAAAUUUCCAUUAUUUUCCUCUUCAGCAACUUCAGCCCGGUGUAUGCAAAGGUCAAAAAGGGUUUUACAUCUGCUUUGAUGCCUUGACUCUGUGGGGCUCACACUCCGAAACGUACACACACAGCACACUCCCCACCUGUGUCUAUAUCGGUACCUCACGUGACACUCAAGUUUGUGUGAACGUAAGAUAAUGUAGGGGGUUUCCAUCCGAAAAAUGAGGACAGUGUCGUUUGAAAUACUAGGAAAUCUACAGCGUGGCAUUUUCAGAGAAGCCGGGCACAGCCUCAGACAGUUUCCCUGGCAGACGUGAACCGGUGGAAGGAGGCCACCAGCAUCUAAAACUUCACAGCGGCCAGCCCCGAACGACAGACAGGGAGGCGGCCACACUUAUGUUCUGCGAACACAGAUGGGACAGAAGCCUGGCUUUUGGUGAGACAGUCUUCCCCUGCCCUCGGCCAGGCCCGGCCCCCAUGCUUCUGUGGCUGCUGCUGAUCCUGGCUCCCGGACGACAGCCGGCAGGUCAGUCUUCCCUUCUCUCUUCCCCCUGCUCUCGGGGCACGGGUCCUCCCCCGUACAUGGGGGCUGCGGGGAGUGGGUCAACGUCAGCGGUGACACCUGUGACCAUGGCGGGCUCGCCGAGCCUCCUGUGGUCUCUCCAGCCUUCGGUUCUCUCCCCGCUCGCGUGAGUGAAAGAAGCAUUUGCAGAGGCAGGAGGCUAAUGCCCAGAACCUUCCACGUGUCUCCUCUCUUCCCUAAGGACCCCCUACCCCCACCCUGUAUGUUCAAGCCAGAGCCACCGUCGAAGGACAGAGAGAUAAAGUGCUGCAGCCUGUGUGGCUGUCCCGCUUCAAUUUCUGGUCCCGUUGGUCAGCUACAGUUUUAUCCACAAAGAUGAUUGCGCAGGCAGCCCGUGCCCCUCCAUUCCAAUUCUUUAUAUCCCUCCGUUUUGUAUUGUGUCUGACUUGGCUGGAGAGCGGACAGAAGUUGCCUUCCCCGUGAAAUCUCAAGGGAAGCAAGGUUUAAAAAUAACGAAAGUGGAAAAAAUGUGUAUUAAUUAUGAGCAACCAAGUAGGAAGUGGUUUGUCAGAGUCUAGAAAGUGCUUCCGAGGCUCAUUCAGCCAGGCCCACCUGUGCCUUGGCAGGAAUGUCGAGGACAAGAGCAUCUCAGAAUCAGCCCGCCCCCAGAGGCCAGCACGGUGUCUGCCCAGCUGCCCGUCACAUCUCCUGAGCUUUUCUGAGCCCACACCAGGGACCUGAGACCUCUCCCCCGUGACACCCCCCUGCCCACCCCCAGGCUGGGCAAAGAGUAAGGAAGAGCAGACUCCGCCCCAAGCAGGUCCCUGGGUCCUGUCGGCUCCCCUCCCACUGGCAACCAGCCCUGGUCUCCACCCACGUCCCAUUCACCUUCACCUGCCUGACCCUUUCUCUUUCCUGUUCAGGAGCACUUCCAAAAGCUUUACUUCUCCUCAAACCUCCAUGGUCCACAGCCUUCGAAGGAGAGACAGUGACUCUCUUCUGUAAGGAUCACCAUUCUCUAGCCUGGGAAUACGUAUCUUGGUAUCACAAUGAGACUCCCUUGAGAAAACAAUCCGGAAGACUCCAAAUAAGCAAGUCUGGACAUUACAGAUGCAAGACCCAAAGAUCUUCCCUCAGUGACCCCGUGCAUGUGCAGUUUUUACCUGGUGAGGAAAGAAGGGGGUGGGUCUCUGAAAUCAAGCCCCUGGGCGGCACGUCUGGAGCUUUGCAGCUUUGCAGGCUUUGCAGAAAGAAAUAGAUGGGAUAUGUCA